AUUGGGUGCAGUGAUGAGCACCUGUAGUCCUAGCUGUUCUGGAGGCUGAGGCAGGAGGAUCACUUGAAUCUAGGAGUUCAAGGUCAGCCUUAACAAUGUAGUGAAAUCCUGUCUCCA
Molecule: small RNA, 117 nt
Filed under: Marmota monax (woodchuck)
Lineage: Eukaryota; Metazoa; Chordata; Mammalia; Rodentia; Sciuridae
Source: RNAcentral